RNAcentral lists this ribosomal RNA (525 nucleotides) under Triticum aestivum (bread wheat). RNAcentral describes it as "partial small subunit ribosomal RNA". The record is from RNAcentral. Lineage: Eukaryota; Viridiplantae; Streptophyta; Magnoliopsida; Poales; Poaceae.
AGGGCCAAGAUCUUCACCAAGGUUCUUUCUUUGCGGCUUGCCCCCAUAUUGGACAGCUUGGUCAGUCGCAACCAGAAUGCGUUCAUCACCGGCAGGAGCCUCCAUGACAACUUCAUCCUCGUUAGGCAAUCCCUUAGGAUGCUUCACCAACUCGGGCCCCCUCGGAUCAUGCUCAAGCUUGACCUCACGCGCGCCUUUGACUCCAUAUCAUGGCCAUUCCUCUUUGAGGUUUUGCGCCAAUAUGGGUUCGGGGACAGAUUCCGGGAGUGGAUGGCGAUCCUGCUUUCGACGUCUAGCACCCGUGUCUUGAUGAACGGUGAGCCAGGCCCCCCGAUUUGGCACCGCAGUGGCCUGCGUCAGGGCGACUCCAUGUCUCCCCAACUCUUUGUCCUCGCUGUGGACACGCUUGGGCGGCUGAUGCGCCGCGCUCUCGACGUGGGCAUCCUGCAACAGUUGCAUCCCCGACGCCCGAUUCCGGUGAUCUCCCUCUACGCCGACGAUGUGAUACUUUUCUGCCACGCCACG